CAUAUCUCGUCUUAGACUGAAUAAAAAACCUCUCCCAUCUCUUUCUUCAUCCUUAUGGCACUGUGAUGGGUAUCUUCCGUUUUCUGUCGACCAGAUUCAGAACACAGAUAAAAAUAACACAUCCAGGGUUGUUUGGUUCUAAUGGGGCAAUGCCCCUUGCUCGAUUUAUGUUUGCGCAUGACAAUAUUCAAAAUACAGUCAUAAAACAGGAUUUUGUUGGUAUUAAUAAAGUAAAUGUUCAGAUUUUACUUUAGUAACCCAUAGUUUCAAAAUUUACUCGAAAAGCCCAAUGGUUAGAAAGCGACCCAAAAGGAAAAGCAAGGCGAUUGCGUUUAAUAGGUUUUUUUUUCUUUCUUUCGUUUCCUUCGUCCCACACUCCAUAAACCCUAAUUGUUGUUAUCCCACUUUCCCUCCACUCGAAAAGCAAAACAAUCUCCACUCUUUUCGUUUUGGUGGAUUUCGACCAUCCUUUCAUGAUGAGUUCUGCUUGCAAGAGGUUGCUGAGCAAGGCCUCGAUGUCGUCUCUCAGAUUCGCUAUCAGAUCUUUGGGCCCGAACUCGUCCUCUCUCGGAACCAGCCAUCGAUCUAUGGCCACUAUCGCCUUUCCUCUCCUCCGCCACGAGCUCCACUCCGCCUCUUUCUCCCCUUACAAAUCCUUGCAGCUAUCAGCGAAUGGGAAGACGUCUUUGGGUUUCUCAGCGAGGGCUUUCAGCGUCCGUUGUGAUGUUACUGAGACCACCAUCUCUAUGGAAGAAAGGG
This is a long non-coding RNA of Tarenaya hassleriana, 759 nucleotides long. RefSeq lists it as uncharacterized. The record is from RefSeq and is a predicted model, not a curated record. The transcript has 3 exons. NCBI's taxonomy places the organism in Eukaryota, Viridiplantae, Streptophyta, Magnoliopsida, Brassicales, Cleomaceae.